ACAAGGAAGAGAUCGUUGGAUUCCUGUAGAUGGCAUCCUGCUCACUUUGGUGGCACACUUAAUGGCGAUGAAGCAUUUGGUGCUGAAAUAGGUGGGUAGCGUAUCAAGAGGGAUCCAUGAGCGAAAACCAUGGUGAAGGAUUUCCUGUCCAUGCCAUCCAGAUGGGAGAAUUUUAGUGGAAACCCUCCUGGAUCCACCCUUUCUCCAGGGGAGCUGUCUCAGACUCUCAAUUAAGAUGAGCGUGCACAUUUUUUCUCCAUCUUAGUUUCUGCUAAUGCUAAAGGUAUAGUAUUGCCUCAAUAUAAUUUUUCCUUACAUCUUCUUAUGCUACAAACUGUUAACCUAUUAAGUUAUAUGUACAGGCAUGAUUAUCAAACGAGUCUUUUUUCCUUAUUAGGAGAUGCAGGGGUGGAUGUGUGUUGCGCUGUACUUAAUUCAAAUCAUUUUAAUUUCAGUGGUACAAGUUGCCGAAUGGUUUUCUUAGCACCACUUAUUAACCACAUUUUGGCAGCAUUAUGCUUCAUAGUUCCUUCUACCAUCCCAACAAGAGUUAUUCAUAUUUGACAAAAGAAUGUCUUGCAGUUUUCCCUUCAAAUUACAGUCACACCCUCCAUCAUAAGGGAUUAAAUUCUUAAUCCUUUGUACAUCUUGAGCAUUAUAAUUUUCUGCUCAAUACAAACUGCUUAUGCAGUAGUUCUUAUAA
Long non-coding RNA from Lolium perenne, 703 nucleotides. RefSeq lists it as uncharacterized. Lineage: Eukaryota; Viridiplantae; Streptophyta; Magnoliopsida; Poales; Poaceae. The record is from RefSeq and is a predicted model, not a curated record.